Long non-coding RNA from Myotis myotis, 379 nucleotides. RefSeq lists it as uncharacterized. The record is from RefSeq and is a predicted model, not a curated record. NCBI's taxonomy places the organism in Eukaryota, Metazoa, Chordata, Mammalia, Chiroptera, Vespertilionidae. The transcript is spliced from 2 exons.
AAUUGCUCUGGGUUCCCAAGGCUGCAGCCAAUCCAGGCCCUUUAUAAGGAGUGAAGUGUGUCUCCCUCAGUCAGUGGCUCAGUUCCUGGCUCACCAUGAGGCUCCACCUUCUACUUGUGUUCCUCUUCGUGUUCCUGUUGUCAGUCCCAGGUUUUGCUCAACAUAGUGAUCCUCGUUGCAACGAGAAAGGUGGAAUCUGCUUGCACAAGAAAUGCCCUAAAGGUAGUAGACCAAUAGGCUACUGUAACAUGCCAAGCCUCAAAUGCUGCAAAAAAUAGCAAUUGGAGAUGAAGAGGCUGCUGUCACUGAUGAUGCAUUUAAGUGUGUCCUUCACAAAAAUGUGACAUUUAAAUAAAAUUAAAUCACAUUAGACUCAGAA